CCUGCGACGCCGAAUUGUAGUUUCUAGAAGCAUUUUCUAGGCGGAUCCAGCGCCGUCCAAGUUGCUUGGAACAGCACGUCAUAGAGGGUGACAACCCCGUCUGUGGCGGAGCUGGCCGCUCACGAUGUGCUUUCAAAGAGUCGGGUUGUUUGGGAAUGCAGCCCAAAAUGGGUGGUAAACUCCAUCUAAAGCUAAAUAUUGGCACGAGACCGAUAGCGAACAAGUACCGUGAGGGAAAGAUGAAAAGCACUUUGAAAAGAGAGUUAAAAAGUACGUGAAACCGUUAAAAGGGAAACGGAUGUGGUUAGCAAUGCGUUUUGCGAGAUUCAGCCGGGUGUCGCUUCGGGCGGGCGGUUUGCGGAUCUGAAUAGACCGUGGCCGUUCGGUUCGGAGCUUCAACCGUCGCACUUCUCGCUGGCGCGCGCCAACGUCGGUUGGCUUUGGGUCUUAAGGCACGAGUAAGGUAGGUUCUUUCUUUCGGGACGGAGCUGUUAUAGACUUGUGUCGUAUGGCCCGAGGGCGACCGAGGGGACCGCGGCGCAUGCCUCCUUCGGGUUGGCUAGGGUCCCGCCUCUCCGGUCGGUAGUCAACUGUGGUGGACUGCGUGCAGUGCGCUACGACCGCUGCCGGUCGCUUAGGUGGUGACUCCGUACUAUGCGCCCAGGACGUUGGCGGUCAAAUGGCCCCAUUCGACCCGUCUUGAAACACGGACCAAGGAGUCUAACAUGUGCGCGAGUCUUUGAGUGAAGGAAACUCGCAGGCGAAAUGAAAGUGAAGGCGGCCUAGCCGUCGAGGUGAGAGACCGUCCUCGGGGCGGUUGCAUCAUCGACCGAC
Molecule: ribosomal RNA, 834 nt
Filed under: Halcampoides sp. San_23
Lineage: Eukaryota; Metazoa; Cnidaria; Anthozoa; Actiniaria; Halcampoididae
Description: partial large subunit ribosomal RNA
Rfam family: Eukaryotic large subunit ribosomal RNA
Source: RNAcentral